Molecule: long non-coding RNA, 605 nt
Filed under: Dromaius novaehollandiae (emu)
Lineage: Eukaryota; Metazoa; Chordata; Aves; Casuariiformes; Dromaiidae
Description: lncRNA (ENSDNVG00000011924.1)
Source: RNAcentral
CCGAAGCACCGAAUUCAUCCCUUGCUCGGGAAAGGCCAGRCAGUUAAAAGGAAAGGGGCCGCGCGUGCACCUCGAGCGAUUCCCUCCCCACCGAAUGCAGCGACAGACUCCGUCCAGAGAGGUUGGAAAAGGGGCUGGGUACAUGAUCUCAUCUGCCCGGUGCUCGAAGGAAGGAGAAGGAAAGGGACCAGUGCAGAUGCGUAAGAAGGAAAGAAAGAAGCACCUUCUGAUCAGGUUAUUUUGUGCUCAGAAUUGCACGGAAACUUCGCUCCAGCAGGUAUUCAGAAGAAAUAUAACUAACGAACAAACUUGGUGGAGAAAGUCCUUAAAGCUUUUAUUCCUUCCUAGGCUUCCUGCAGCAUCGCAUCUUCAGCUAUGGCCUUAUUCAGAAAGAAGCCCAGACUUUGGACCAGGCCCCUGCGUCGUACAGACUUAGCAGGAGGGACCRACUUCUUGUGCGUGUGGCUUGUACAGCACAGAGCACCUGGCGCUUAACAAGUGGUAAGUAAUAAUAAUAACCGUCCACUAACUGCAUAACUGUUUUAAGUAUCUCACGUAAGUGGAUAACUUGAUUUGUAAAUAAACUACAUUUCAGGAAUAUUUCA